ACGAAGGGGGCUAGCGUUGUUCGGAUUUACUGGGCGUAAAGCGCGUGUAGGCGGGUCGUUAAGUUGGGGGUGAAAUCCCGAGGCUCAACCUCGGAACUGCCUUCAAAACUGGCGACCUGGAGCAAGAUAGAGGCAAGUGGAAUUGCGAGUGUAGAGGUGAAAUUCGUAGAUAUUCGCAGGAACACCAGUGGCGAAGGCGACUUGCUGGAUCUUUGCUGACGCUGAGACGCGAAAGCGUGGGGAGCAAACAGGA
RNAcentral lists this ribosomal RNA (253 nucleotides) under uncultured prokaryote. RNAcentral describes it as "partial 16S ribosomal RNA". It matches the Rfam family "Bacterial small subunit ribosomal RNA", at positions 525 to 777 of the family's 1533-position model. The record is from RNAcentral.